RNAcentral lists this ribosomal RNA (457 nucleotides) under uncultured bacterium. RNAcentral describes it as "bacterial SSU rRNA". It matches the Rfam family "Bacterial small subunit ribosomal RNA", at positions 28 to 507 of the family's 1533-position model. The record is from RNAcentral.
GACGAACGCUGGCGGCGUGCUUAACACAUGCAAGUCGAACGGUCAGCACUGGAAGGUUCGCUGGAAGGUGCUGGUAGUGGCGGACGGGUGAGUAACGCGUGAGGACAUGGCUCCAGGAGGGGGAUAACGUUUGGAAACGGACGCUAAGACCCCAUAUGCCGGAAGGUGAAACUGGGCAACCAGCCUGGAGAGUGACUCGCGUCCUAUCAGCUAGUUGGUGGGGUGAAGGCCUACCAAGGCGAUGACGGGUAGCCGACCUGAGAGGGUGGCCGGCCACACUGGAACUGAGAUACGGUCCAGACUCCUACGGGAGGCAGCAGUGGGGAAUAUUGGGCAAUGGGCGAAAGCCUGACCCAGCGACGCCGCGUGGGGGAAGAAGUCUUUCGGGAUGUAAACCCUUGUUGUACGGGACGAAGGAAGUGACGGUACCGUACGAGGAAGCCCGGCAAACUACGUG